RNAcentral lists this ribosomal RNA (589 nucleotides) under uncultured bacterium. RNAcentral's name for it is "bacterial SSU rRNA". It matches the Rfam family "Bacterial small subunit ribosomal RNA", at positions 11 to 646 of the family's 1533-position model. The record is from RNAcentral.
GUUUGAUCAUGGCUCAGAACGAACGCUGGCGGCAGGCCUAACACAUGCAAGUCGAGCGCUGUAGCAAUACAGAGCGGCGCACGGGUGAGUAACACGUGGGAACGUGCCCUUUGGUUCGGAAUAACUCAGGGAAACUUGAGCUAAUACCGGAUGAGCCCUGACGGGGAAAGAUUUAUCGCCGAAGGAGCGGCCCGCGUCGGAUUAGCUAGUUGGUGGGGUAAAAGCCUACCAAGGCAACGAUCCGUAGCUGGUUUGAGAGAACGACCAGCCACACUGGGACUGAGACACGGCCCAGACUCCUACGGGAGGCAGCAGUGGGGAAUCUUGGACAAUGGGGGAAACCCUGAUCCAGCCAUGCCGCGUGAGUGAUGAAGGCCCUAGGGUUGUUAAACUCUUUCGGCGGGGACGAUAAUGACGGUACCCGCAGAAGAAGCUCCGGCUAACUUCGUGCCAGCAGCCGCGGUAAUACGAAGGGGGCUAGCGUUGUUCGGAAUUACUGGGCGUAAAGCGCGCGCAGGCGGUUCUUCCAGUCAGAGGUGAAAGCCCAGANCUCAACUCUGGAAUGGCCUUUGAGACUAGAGAACUUAGG